Trematomus bernacchii (emerald rockcod) is the source of this 310-nucleotide long non-coding RNA. RefSeq lists it as uncharacterized. The transcript is spliced from 3 exons. Lineage: Eukaryota; Metazoa; Chordata; Actinopteri; Perciformes; Nototheniidae. The record is from RefSeq and is a predicted model, not a curated record.
GUGGCUCGAAUCAUCGAAUCCUGAGACGAACCAAGCCAUAGAACUCACCGGGAGCUGCUCUCUGAUUGGCUGCCAGACUGGAAGUGAAAUACACAUCACGACCACAGGAUGAGGAGGCAGAUUUAACGCUGAGCUCUUCUGGAAACAGUUUCACGUGUUGGAGAAGUUUAGGAAGCUGGACAAAGUCUGUCAGAAUCAGACCGAGCUGAAGGAGUUGGAGUCCAGCCUCACGUAGAUACUCUCUACAGGUUCAUCUGAAAAUGUUUCUUCAGUUUCUGGAUCACAGUCAUGACAGCCAACAGUGAGGAGG